Molecule: unclassified non-coding RNA, 1240 nt
Filed under: Hevea brasiliensis (rubber tree)
Lineage: Eukaryota; Viridiplantae; Streptophyta; Magnoliopsida; Malpighiales; Euphorbiaceae
Source: RNAcentral
CUCGCAUCAUAUUUUUGCAAUUUGCACGUAGCAGUCUUCCUAAUCUCUAUCUCUUCUAUUCAAUGUUUACAAAGAACUUAGGGUUUUGAAAACUGAGAUGGGUUUGACCAAUUUCAUCAUCACGGUGGCCGGUGUCAGCGCCGUCAUUCUUCUAUUAAGGAGCGAUGUGAAGCAAUCGGCUACCAUUUUUAGGCGCAACGUCAAGCACAUCCGUCAAUGGCUCGAAGAAGAAUCCGCCGCUGCCUCCAAGUAUGUCCUCUAUGUAGUCAAAUCCAUCGAUACAUUUGUGUCUAUAGUUGGUUUCUAUUUCGUUCAAAGUUGGAUUUGAAUCCAUGAAUGGCUGCCUAAACUUCAAUUGAAUGAUUUUACUUCUGUGCUGUAAUUCAAAUUACAUGAACCCAAUAGAUAGAAAUAGACAAAAAAGGAUUAGAGAGAUUUGGAACUGAAUUCUGUUAUACUCAAAUACUCAUCUUUUCAACAGUUAUAGCUAUAUAUUCAACAAUCUUGUAAUAACGAUCUAACAUUUCCGCCACUUUAUUGUUGCUUUAAUUUCUUCGCUGCAUCAGCCGCAUCUUGAAUGACCUUGUCCUUAAGAAUGAUAUUACCAUUAGAAUGUUUCACUCAAACCAAAACUUCUGUAGUAGCUAUAUUCCCUCUCAUAACCAUUAUUGUAUCUAAAAUGGAGCAGUAAUGUGGAAUGACUCGAUUUUGUGAAUCGACAACAAGCAUAUGAUGUGGACUGAUUCUGUUUUUGAGCUGAGAAACAUUUAUAUUGUUAAAAUUCGGGCAAGUCAAGAUUAUAAGUGGCAUUUCCAAUCUUGUGAAGGUAUUUUUAGGGGCCAUAGUAUAUAUGUGAGUGUGUGUGUGUUUCCGAUAUUUAUAAAGGUGAGAGCUUGGUUUAGUGUUUAGAGACUAAGGACUAUUGUCUAUAAGGCUGUAGCAAAGCAUACACCUAGUCAACUAUAUGCAACUGUCUUUCAGUCUUGUGCUUAUUAGCCAAUUGAGCCACCAUUUUCUUUCACUCCCCUCUGGAGGUGAUAUUUGAGCGGUGUCAAAUUUUGUUCCCGAUCAUUAAACUCCUGAUCAUCGCAGGUACAGGAGAAUUUUCAGUCCUUUUUUUAUUAGUCAAUUGAGCUGUUCUUUUUUUCCCCCCUCCCCUCUGAAGGUGAUAUUUAAGCAGUUUCAAUGUUUCUUCACGAUUAUUAAACUCCUGAUCAUAGCAGAUAAAGGAGGUUCCCCA